Molecule: long non-coding RNA, 411 nt
Filed under: Bos taurus (domestic cattle)
Lineage: Eukaryota; Metazoa; Chordata; Mammalia; Artiodactyla; Bovidae
Description: long non-coding RNA NONBTAT010799
Source: RNAcentral
CUAAAUUUGAAAGUAGUGCCAUUCAUUUGACUACCAAACCAAGGAACUUUGCAUCGUUCUUUUUAUAGGAGAUUUAAGAAAGGAUAUUAUCAUAGAUAUUAUCUAACACUAUUUCUAAGUAUAUUUGAUCAUAAAAAGCCUCCUGGAAUUUGAAGCAUGACAUGUUUCUAAUCCCCAUUAAGGGUAGGAAAAUGUCAUAAAAUGAUCAAUAUGCUAGGCUUGCUUUAUUUGGAGAAGAAUUACUAAUACACUGUUCUGGGUAUGAAAUGUGGACCACUCUAGUCUGAGGUGUUUUUAGGCCCUGCUACCACCCAUAGACCAGGCAAACACAGAAAGAAGCCAUAAAUGUUUUUCCUAGAAGAUGGGGUCCCCACACAGCCAAUCUGAUACACUUCCUGUGUCUAUGCAAAC